GGUUAAGCGACUAAGCGUACACGGUGGAUGCCCUGGCAGUCAGAGGCGAUGAAGGACGUGCUAAUCUGCGAAAAGCGUCGGUAAGGUGAUAUGAACCGUUAUAACCGGCGAUGUCCGAAUGGGGAAACCCAGUGCAAUUCGUUGCACUAUCGUUAACUGAAUACAUAGGUUAACGAGGCGAACCGGGGGAACUGAAACAUCUAAGUACCCCGAGGAAAAGAAAUCAACCGAGAUUCCCCCAGUAGCGGCGAGCGAACGGGGAGCAGCCCAGAGUCUGAAUCAGCUUGUGUGUUAGUGGAACGGUCUGGAAAGUCCGACGGUACAGGGUGAUAGUCCCGUACACCAAAAUGCACAGGCUGUGAACUCGAAGAGUAGGGCGGGACACGUGGUAUCCUGUCUGAAUAUGGGGGGACCAUCCUCCAAGGCUAAAUACUCCUGACUGACCGAUAGUGAACCAGUACCGUGAGGGAAAGGCGAAAAGAACCCCGGCGAGGGGAGUGAAAAAGAACCUGAAACCGUGUACGUACAAGCAGUGGGAGCACCUUCGGGUGUGACUGCGUACCUUUUGUAUAAUGGGUCAGCGACUUAUAUUCUGUAGCAAGGUUAACCGUAUAGGGGAGCCGCAGGGAAACCGAGUCUUAACUGGGCGUUAAGUUGCAGGGUAUAGACCCGAAACCCGGUGAUCUAGCCAUGGGCAGGUUGAAGGUUGGGUAACACUAACUGGAGGACCGAACCGACUAAUGUUGAAAAAUUAGCGGAUGACUUGUGGCUGGGGGUGAAAGGCCAAUCAAACCGGGAGAUAGCUGGUUCUCCCCGAAAGCUAUUUAGGUAGCGCCUCGUGAAUUCAUCUUCGGGGGUAGAGCACUGUUUCGGCUAGGGGGUCAUCCCGACUUACCAACCCGAUGCAAACUACGAAUACCGAAGAAUGUUAUCACGGGAGACACACGGCGGGUGCUAACGUCCGUCGUGAAGAGGGAAACAACCCAGACCGCCAGCUAAGGUCCCAAAGUCAUGGUUAAGUGGGAAACGAUGUGGGAAGGCACAGACAGCCAGGAUGUUGGCUUAGAAGCAGCCAUCAUUUAAAGAAAGCGUAAUAGCUCACUGGUCGAGUCGGCCUGCGCGGAAGAUGUAACGGGGCUAAACCAUGCACCGAAGCUGCGGCAGCGACACUAUGUGUUGUUGGGUAGGGGAGCGUUCUGUAAGCCUGCGAAGGUGUGCUGUGAGGCAUGCUGGAGGUAUCAGAAGUGCGAAUGCUGACAUAAGUAACGAUAAAGCGGGUGAAAAGCCCGCUCGCCGGAAGACCAAGGGUUCCUGUCCAACGUUAAUCGGGGCAGGGUGAGUCGACCCCUAAGGCGAGGCCGAAAGGCGUAGUCGAUGGGAAACAGGUUAAUAUUCCUGUACUUGGUGUUACUGCGAAGGGGGGACGGAGAAGGCUAUGUUAGCCGGGCGACGGUUGUCCCGGUUUAAGCAUGUAGGCUGGUUGUCCAGGCAAAUCCGGAUAAUCAAGGCUGAGGUGUGAUGACGAGGCACUACGGUGCUGAAGUAACAAAUGCCCUGCUUCCAGGAAAAGCCUCUAAGCAUCAGGUAACAUCAAAUCGUACCCCAAACCGACACAGGUGGUCAGGUAGAGAAUACCAAGGCGCUUGAGAGAACUCGGGUGAAGGAACUAGGCAAAAUGGUGCCGUAACUUCGGGAGAAGGCACGCUGGUGUGUAGGUGAAGCCCCUGCGGGUGGAGCUGAGACCAGUCGAAGAUACCAGCUGGCUGCAACUGUUUAUUAAAAACACAGCACUGUGCAAACACGAAAGUGGACGUAUACGGUGUGACGCCUGCCCGGUGCCGGAAGGUUAAUUGAUGGGGUUAUCCGUAAGGAGAAGCUCUUGAUCGAAGCCCCGGUAAACGGCGGCCGUAACUAUAACGGUCCUAAGGUAGCGAAAUUCCUUGUCGGGUAAGUUCCGACCUGCACGAAUGGCGUAAUGAUGGCCAGGCUGUCUCCACCCGAGACUCAGUGAAAUUGAACUCGCUGUGAAGAUGCAGUGUACCCGCGGCAAGACGGAAAGACCCCGUGAACCUUUACUAUAGCUUGACACUGAACAUUGAGCCUUGAUGUGUAGGAUAGGUGGGAGGCUUUGAAGCGUGGACGCCAGUCUGCGUGGAGCCAACCUUGAAAUACCACCCUUUAAUGUUUGAUGUUCUAACGUUGGCCCCUUACCGGGGUUGCGGACAGUGUCUGGUGGGUAGUUUGACUGGGGCGGUCUCCUCCCAAAGCGUAACGGAGGAGCACGAAGGUUAGCUAAUCCUGGUCGGACAUCAGGAGGUUAGUGCAAUGGCAUAAGCUAGCUUGACUGCGAGCGUGACGGCGCGAGCAGGUGCGAAAGCAGGUCAUAGUGAUCCGGUGGUUCUGAAUGGAAGGGCCAUCGCUCAACGGAUAAAAGGUACUCCGGGGAUAACAGGCUGAUACCGCCCAAGAGUUCAUAUCGACGGCGGUGUUUGGCACCUCGAUGUCGGCUCAUCACAUCCUGGGGCUGAAGUAGGUCCCAAGGGUAUGGCUGUUCGCCAUUUAAAGUGGUACGCGAGCUGGGUUUAGAACGUCGUGAGACAGUUCGGUCCCUAUCUGCCGUGGGCGCUGGAGAAUUGAGGGGGCUGCUCCUAGUACGAGAGGACCGGAGUGGACGCAUCACUGGUGUUCGGGUUGUCAUGCCAAUGGCACUGCCCGGUAGCUAAAUGCGGAAGAGAUAAGUGCUGAAAGCAUCUAAGCACGAAACUUGCCCCGAGAUGAGUUCUCCCUGAGACUAUAAGUCUCCUGAAGGAACGUUAAAGACGAUGACGUUGAUAGGCCGGGUGUGUAAGCGCAGCGAUGCGUUGAGCUAACCGGUACUAAUGAACCGUGAGGCUUAACCUU
Molecule: ribosomal RNA, 2901 nt
Filed under: Klebsiella pneumoniae
Lineage: Bacteria; Pseudomonadati; Pseudomonadota; Gammaproteobacteria; Enterobacterales; Enterobacteriaceae
Description: 23S ribosomal RNA
Rfam family: Bacterial large subunit ribosomal RNA
Source: RNAcentral